RNAcentral lists this ribosomal RNA (450 nucleotides) under uncultured soil bacterium. RNAcentral describes it as "bacterial SSU rRNA". It matches the Rfam family "Bacterial small subunit ribosomal RNA", at positions 26 to 480 of the family's 1533-position model. The record is from RNAcentral.
AGAUUGAACGCUGGCGGAAUGCUUUACACAUGCAAGUCGAGCGGCAGCGCGGGGCAACCUGGCGGCGAGCGGCGAACGGGUGAGUAAUACAUCGGAACAUGUCCAUUUGUGGGGGAUAGCCCGGCGAAAGCCGGAUUAAUACCGCAUAAGCCCUACGGGGGAAAGCGGGGGACUUCGCAAGAGGCCUCGCGCGAAUGGGUUGGCCGAUGUCCGAUUAGCUAGUUGGUGGGUAAAGCUUACCAAGGCGAUGAUCGGUAGCUGGUCUGAGAGGAUGAUCAGCCACACUGGGACUGAGACACGGCCCAGACUCCUACGGGAGGCAGCAGUGGGAAUUUUGGACAAGUGGGGGCAACCCUGAUCCAGCCAUUCCGCGUGAGUGAAGAAGGCCGUUGGUUGUAAGUCUACGUUUGUACCGGAACGUAACGGUAACGUGAAUAUCGUUGCCUACGU